AAAUUGAAGAGUUUGAUCAUGGCUCAGAUUGAACGCUGGCGGCAGGCCUAACACAUGCAAGUCGAACGGUAACAGGAAGCAGCUUGCUGCUUCGCUGACGAGUGGCGGACGGGUGAGUAAUAUCUGGGAAACUGCCUGAUGGAGGGGGAUAACUACUGGAAACGGUAGCUAAUACCGCAUAAUGUCGCAAGACCAAAGAGGGGGACCUUCGGGCCUCUUGCCAUCGGAUGUGCCCAGAUGGGAUUAGCUUGUUGGUGGGGUAACGGCUCACCAAGGCGACGAUCCCUAGCUGGUCUGAGAGGAUGACCAGCCACACUGGAACUGAGACACGGUCCAGACUCCUACGGGAGGCAGCAGUGGGGAAUAUUGCACAAUGGGCGCAAGCCUGAUGCAGCCAUGC
This 400-nucleotide ribosomal RNA is filed under the name Escherichia coli. Its description in RNAcentral is "bacterial SSU rRNA". It matches the Rfam family "Bacterial small subunit ribosomal RNA", at positions 1 to 397 of the family's 1533-position model. Lineage: Bacteria; Pseudomonadati; Pseudomonadota; Gammaproteobacteria; Enterobacterales; Enterobacteriaceae. The record is from RNAcentral.